GGCUAAACCAUGCACCGAAGCUGCGGCAGCGACACUAUGUGUUGUUGGGUAGGGGAGCGUUCUGUAAGCCUGCGAAGGUGUGCUGUGAGGCAUGCUGGAGGUAUCAGAAGUGCGAAUGCUGACAUAAGUAACGAUAAAGCGGGUGAAAAGCCCGCUCGCCGGAAGACCAAGGGUUCCUGUCCAACGUUAAUCGGGGCAGGGUGAGUCGACCCCUAAGGCGAGGCCGAAAGGCGUAGUCGAUGGGAAACAGGUUAAUAUUCCUGUACUUGGUGUUACUGCGAAGGGGGGACGGAGAAGGCUAUGUUAGCCGGGCGACGGUUGUCCCGGUUUAAGCAUGUAGGCUGGUUAUCCAGGCAAAUCCGGAUAAUCAAGGCUGAGGUGUGAUGACGAGGCACUACGGUGCUGAAGUAACAAAUGCCCUGCUUCCAGGAAAAGCCUCUAAGCAUCAGGUAACAUCAAAUCGUACCCCAAACCGACACAGGUGGUCAGGUAGAGAAUACCAAGGCGCUUGAGAGAACUCGGGUGAAGGAACUAGGCAAAAUGGUGCCGUAACUUCGGGAGAAGGCACGCUGGUGUGUAGGUGAAGUCCCUGCGGAUGGAGCUGAGACCAGUCGAAGAUACCAGCUGGCUGCAACUGUUUAUUAAAAACACAGCACUGUGCAAACACGAAAGUGGACGUAUACGGUGUGACGCCUGCCCGGUGC
RNAcentral lists this ribosomal RNA (704 nucleotides) under Klebsiella pneumoniae. RNAcentral's name for it is "bacterial LSU rRNA". It matches the Rfam family "Bacterial large subunit ribosomal RNA", at positions 1179 to 1869 of the family's 2925-position model. Lineage: Bacteria; Pseudomonadati; Pseudomonadota; Gammaproteobacteria; Enterobacterales; Enterobacteriaceae. The record is from RNAcentral.